Molecule: ribosomal RNA, 439 nt
Filed under: uncultured bacterium
Lineage: Bacteria
Description: bacterial SSU rRNA
Rfam family: Bacterial small subunit ribosomal RNA
Source: RNAcentral
AUUGAACGCUGGCGGAAUGCUUUACACAUGCAAGUCGAGCGGCAGCGCGGGGGCAACCCUGGCGGCGAGCGGCGAACGGGUGAGUAACACAUCGGAACGUACCCAGUUGAGGGGGAUAGCCCGGCGAAAGCCGGAUUAAUACCGCAUAAGUCCUGAGGGAGAAAGCGGGGGACCGCAAGGCCUCGCGCGAUUGGAGCGGCCGAUGUCGGAUUAGCUAGUUGGUGGGGUAAAGGCUCACCAAGGCGACGAUCCGUAGCUGGUCUGAGAGGAUGAUCAGCCACACUGGGACUGAGACACGGCCCAGACUCCUACGGGAGGCAGCAGUGGGGAAUUUUGGACAAUAGGCGCAAGCCUGAUCCAGCCAUUCCGCGUGAGUGAAGAAGGCCUUCGGUUGUAAGCUCUUCGUACGGAAAGGAAAGUACGCCCGGGUAAACGUAAA